RNAcentral lists this non-coding RNA (27 nucleotides) under Mus musculus (house mouse). The record is from RNAcentral. Lineage: Eukaryota; Metazoa; Chordata; Mammalia; Rodentia; Muridae.
UCCCCAGGAUGCGCUGAGCCUUGAGAC